UGGGGAAUAUUGGACAAUGGACCAAGAGUCUGAUCCAGCAAUUCUGUGUGCACGAUGAAGUUUUUCGGAAUGUAAAGUGCUUUCAGUUGGGAAGAAAAAAAUGACGGUACCAACAGAAGAAGUGACGGCUAAAUACGUGCCAGCAGCCGCGGUAAUACGUAUGUCACGAGCGUUAUCCGGAUUUAUUGGGCGUAAAGCGCGUCUAGGUGGUUAUGUAAGUCUGAUGUGAAAAUGCAGGGCUCAACUCUGUAUUGCGUUGGAAACUGUAUAACUAGAGUACUGGAGAGGUAAGCGGAACUACAAGUGUAGAGGUGAAAUUCGUAGAUAUUUGUAGGAAUGCCGAUGGGGAAGCCAGCUUACUGGACAGAUACUGACGCUGAAGCGCGAAAGCGUGGGUAGCAAACAGGAUUAGAUACCCUGGUAGUCCACGCCGUAACGAUGAUUACUAGGUGUUGGGGGUCGAACCUCAGCGCCCAAGCAAACGCGAUAAGUAAUCCGCCUGGGGAGUACGUACGCAAGUAU
Molecule: ribosomal RNA, 522 nt
Filed under: uncultured bacterium
Lineage: Bacteria
Description: bacterial SSU rRNA
Rfam family: Bacterial small subunit ribosomal RNA
Source: RNAcentral